CAGUAGCCGCGGUAAUACAGAGGGUGCGAGCGUUAAUCGGAUUUACUGGGCGUAAAGCGUGCGUAGGCGGCUUCUUAAGUCGGAUGUGAAAUCCCUGAGCUUAACUUAGGAAUUGCAUUCGAUACUGGGAAGCUAGAGUAUGGGAGAGGAUGGUAGAAUUCCAGGUGUAGCGGUGAAAUGCGUAGAGAUCUGGAGGAAUACCGAUGGCGAAGGCAGCCAUCUGGCCUAAUACUGACGCUGAGGUACGAAAGCAUGGGGAGCAAACAGGAUUAGAGACCCCGGUAGUCCCUGUCUCUUAUAA
This 301-nucleotide ribosomal RNA is filed under the name uncultured bacterium. RNAcentral's name for it is "partial 16S ribosomal RNA". It matches the Rfam family "Bacterial small subunit ribosomal RNA", at positions 509 to 809 of the family's 1533-position model. The record is from RNAcentral.